This 396-nucleotide unclassified non-coding RNA is filed under the name Zea mays. RNAcentral's name for it is "misc RNA Zm00001eb136400". The record is from RNAcentral. Lineage: Eukaryota; Viridiplantae; Streptophyta; Magnoliopsida; Poales; Poaceae.
CUGCUCAAGAUUACUGGAUCUGGUGAGUCACCGUUCAGAGUUGGGUUCAUGUUCCUGGGGCGCUUCUUCUUACGUUCGCAGGCGGAGCGUCCGUGGAGGAGGCGGCGGGGUAUUGAUGGAAGUGGUACCCUUGAUGGACAGACAGAUUUCAAACUGAAUAUGAGGUUGUCUCUAUCAGCAGCAAGGGAAGAAAACUUGACGGUUAAUCCUGGAAGAUGGCGAGUGCUCUAUCUUGGAGACUUGGAAGAUGGCGAAUCUUGGAAGAACAUCAAAAGGAUGGAAACACCUUGCCACGGUAAUAGCGCCAGAACAGCCGUCGACGGCUUCAAGCUCCUACUUGUGUUUCCGGCGUUUGGCUGUUGCGGCUGUAUGGAGUCAGCAAGCAUGUCCGGCUGA